UAUGUAUAUAUUUUUGAUAUGUAAAGUCAUGCAUGUUUUAUUUCCUCUGUCCAAUACAUAAUCUCUAACUAAAGGACUGGAUAUCUUCCAGUCUUUUUUUACUUUUCUGUACAGCUCUUGAGCAAAUCUUUCUGCUGCACCUGCCUUUUGACCAUGGUUUAGAGUCACUCAGUGUCUUCUCAUAUUCAUAAAAGUCUAAAUGCUGCCUAUUCCACUGCUCAGGACUCCACCUGGUAGUCUCAUGUUGCCUUAGAUAACAAGAAACCUAAUGGCACCUUUCUCCCAGAAUACACACUCUGCUUACUGCUGUUAUGGACAAGGAGACAAACCAAACAGGAUCUGGACACCUUUGUUCAAGACAGAAGUUUUCCUUCUUGGCUAUGGUGGAUGUGUCUAUAGCGACUCAGUAGUUUCAGAAUCAGCUUUUGGUUGUAAUCAGGCCUCCUGUGGGAAGUUGGAGCCCCAGGGAUCUACAAUCCACCUCCUGAAGAUGUGCUGUUAA
RNAcentral lists this long non-coding RNA (502 nucleotides) under Dromaius novaehollandiae (emu). RNAcentral describes it as "lncRNA (ENSDNVG00000017658.1)". Lineage: Eukaryota; Metazoa; Chordata; Aves; Casuariiformes; Dromaiidae. The record is from RNAcentral.